CCGCCCCGCUGUCCUUGCCUCUGGAGCUGCUCCUGUACCAUGGGUGUGACUUCCAGUCCUGCCACCUGCCAGUCCUGUUCAGCCUCCUCUCCGUUUCUGCGCAGGGGGAGUGGGGGUGGGUGUGAUAGGACCUCCCUCAGCGGGUGAUGCUGAGCCUGGAAUGUGCCCCUGUCACUGUUGCUGUUGCUCGGGUGGCUCCCGGCCCGGGCGGCUCUCCGCACUGCGAGAUGUGUCACAGGUUAACUUGUUCUUACUAACAGCUAAAACUUACAAGUUUAAUUUGAGUCGGGAAAACGUAUUUUUAGAAAGCCAUUAGAGCUAUGUCCGGGUUAUCCCCACCGUAUCGUUAUUGCUGUUGAUUCCCGUUUCGGGAGGUGGAGAGUGCCCACAGAAGGCUGCCCUGCGCCCCCAGGGUUGGGCACGGCCCGGGGAUACCGGUUGGAACACGGGUCCCUCAUCCAAACACUGAGUGUCCCGUGUGGGGGCAGAAAACGUGUUUGAGAACCGCUGGUCACGGGUGCUGUGCCUUCUGCCACUCUCAUGUUCCUGCUGUUCCACGCGGCAAAACUCUGUUCCCGUUGCUUGCCAGACUACAACCCCCACAGCCAAGCCUUCUUAUCCUGUGCAGACAUACCUCCGUGCAAGGAAAAUACGUGUUUGACUGUUGAAAUCACUUUUCCAUUAUAGUAAACAGCUGCUGUAACUUGCCCUGACUUUAUUCAUUAAUUAAUAUUUAUCGAGUGCCUGUUAUGAAUGAGGUAUUAUCGGGUUUAUGAGGAUAAUUGAGAAAAUGUCCAUUUAAGAAGCUUAUAACUAAGCCUGAUGGACAGAUCACAGAUGCAAGGACUACAGCUGAAAAACAUUGAUUCUGGGCUUCCUUUUCUUCUUUAGCUUCCAUUUUGAAACUUUUACAUUCAGGAAAAGUAAUACAUUGUAUCCAUUUACAGCCUGUUAGUCUUUGUUUUUCAUUAUAAAAGUAAUACAUGCUCACUGCACACAAUUUGGACAAUAUGUAAAAAUUAAAAGGGAACAGAAAACAUUUCAUCAACAAAAAUUACCACUUUAAUGUGGUUUUUUUAUUUUUUAUUAUUAUUCUUUUCUUUAAUGUUUAUUUAUUUUUGAGAGAGACAGAGACAGAAUGUGAGUGGGUUAGGGGCAGAGAGAGAGGGAGACACAGAAUCCGAAGCAGGCUCCAGGUUCCGAGCUGUCAGCACAGAGCCUGACGCAGGGCUCGAACCCAUGAACCAUGAGAUCAUGACCUGAGCAGAAGUCGGAGGCUCAACCGACUGAGCCACCCAGGCUCUCCUUAAUGUGGUUUUUUAGGUUAUUUUCAGGGGCGCCUACAUGGCUCAGUUGCUUAAGUGUCGGAUUUCUGUUCAGGUCAUGGUCUCGCCGUUCCUGAGUUUGAGCCCCAUGUCCGAGCCUGAAGCCUGCUGCAUAUUCUGUGUCUCCCUCUCUCUCUGCCUCUCCCCGCUUGUGCUCUGUCUCUGUCUCUCAAAAAUAAAUAAACGUUAAAAAAAAAAAAAAGUUCCUUUCAUGCAACUUGUACAUAGGUAAUAUUCUCUAUGUUUAUAUCCUGUUGGGUUUUUUUUUUUCAUUUCAGCCAUUAUGUAAUCAUUAUUUCCCUAUGUUAUUAGAAUACUUUAUAAUUUUAAGAGCAAAAUAUUUCAUCAUAUAUGACUUACGACCACUCCCCCUAUAUGUUGGGCAUUCGGGUUGAUUCCAGUUUUUCUUUAUUAUAAGCAAUAUAAUAAUAAACACCUUGGUGUAUGAGUCAUCUGUAUUUGUGAUCAUAGAUUUCCAAGGGGGAAUUAUUCAGCCAGGGUAGAAAUAUUUGUAAGGUUAUUAAUAUAUGUGGCUUUGUUGCUUUUUGGCACAGAUAUGUAACCUGACAAUUUUUUUUAUUUUGCUUUGAAUAUUCAUUGCCUUAACUGUAAGAGAUCCUAAACCUUUGCACAUGCUGCAUUCCACGUGUUGACUGUUCCACAAUGACUCCAAAGUUCAUGACAUAAAGUAGUUUGCAUAUUUACUGAAGCACAGAGUUAAUCACAUGGGCCUUGGGGCUGGUGUGGUGCAGUUGAGUCCCUUGGCUGUGAGUGACUGAGGCUGCCUGGCUCCUGUUUGAUCAGGGCUUCAUGGUUCUUUGCAAGUGCUCUCGUACAUUGCUUUGUAAAUUUACUUAUUUUUUCAUAUGGAGAACUUUUGUGAAAACUGAGAUGGCUGUUCAUUUAUGGCCUACAAAUGUGCAUAGAUUAUCUGUAUCAGACAUAUGUGACCCAAGGCAAAACCCAGGAGUUUGCACAGAUAUUUCCAUAUUAACAAGUGUGAAGUUUUGCAAAGGCCACUCCUUUCUAGUUGGUUGGUAUAGUAAGUACGAAUCUCUCAUUUCCGGGAAAGAAGUGUGAUUUCAUCUUCAGUGCAAGCUGAAGAAAUUAUGCUCUCUGUAAUAACUGAUCACAUAGAAUAAGUGAUUCUAUGUAUCUUUAUAAGAAAACGUGAAAGUAAAUACACAGACGAAAUCCUCAGACAAGGAGCCGCUACGGAGAUUGUCCCCGUCCUUGCUUUAACUUUAGAAGAAGUUCUUUGUAUUUGGGUGCGAAUAUCUUAUCCUCCAGCUAGGAAAGAGAGCGUGUGGAAAACAAUUUCAUCAACGUCGAGGACUCUGAGAACAAGCGCAGCGAAAGAGACCUCGCUCAGGCCAAUCACGCUAAUCUCUGCUUAACCUUGCACUGCUUCCCUCCCGGGGACUGAAGUCCUGCCCUGAAACACAGUGAGCGAUGCACUUUCCUGAUUCUGUCUCUCUGACUGGAUUCCAGAGCGCCCCGGAUCUCUCAUUGCUCUGCAGGGCCUGUGGUCAGGAAGCCUCCGUUCUGGACACUUGCCCCAGCCAAUGGCAACUCCAUUCUUCCAGUUCCUUAGGCCAAAGCCUUGGAGUCAUCCUUAACUCCUCCUGGCGCGUCCCAUCCCACAUCUGAGCCUUUGGCGAGUUCUUGGUUCCACGUGGAAAAUAUAUCCAGACUCUGACUACCUUUGGUCUAAGCCACUGUCAUCUCUGCCCUGGAUGCCUGCAAAGAGCCUCCUGCCUGCCUUCCUGGCUUCCGUCCUCGUCCCCUUCCACUUCUUCUCAACAGUGCCAUCUGAGUGGCCUGUGUAAAAUAGGGGCCGGGGCGCCUGGGGGGCUCCGUCAGUUAAGCGUCCGACUUCGGCUUAGGUCAUGAUCUCACCGUUCAUGGGUUCGAGCCCCUCAUCGGGCUCUACGCGGACAGCUCAGAGCCUGGAGUCCGCUUAGGAUUCUGUGUCUCCCUCUGUCUCUGCCCCUCCCCUGCUCACGCUCGUGCUCUCUCUCUCUCUCUCUCUCUCUCUCUCUCUCUGUC
Long non-coding RNA from Neofelis nebulosa (Clouded leopard), 3374 nucleotides. RefSeq lists it as uncharacterized. The transcript is spliced from 2 exons. Lineage: Eukaryota; Metazoa; Chordata; Mammalia; Carnivora; Felidae. The record is from RefSeq and is a predicted model, not a curated record.